ACAGAAGGCGGUGGCGGGCGGGUGCAGCGAGUUUGUCCCCUUGCCCGCACACUGCUUGGCCUCUGUACUUAAGUGCGGUGGCCGCCUGCCUCGCUGGAGCUUCUCUGCCGCAGCCAUCCAUGCUGCUUGGGACGGGCCGGGGCGCGAAGGCGGUCGCAUCCAUCGCUCUGCCCUCCUGGGAAGUUUCUGCUCUCCUUCCCCGCUCCUACCCUUAGGAAACCCCCUCACCACCUGCCCCAGACCAGGUUCCUCUGAACCCUAAAUUCAAUCUUUAGGGCCCACUUUCCCAACCCCCUGACCUUUUUCCAUCGGCACCUACCGAGACGACUUCGUCGCGUGCUCCCAUACCCAUUUCUUUCACUUUCCUGUGGCGAGCAUCUCCCUUCUCAGGGAAAGGGAAGCAUGGGGCCAGCACCUUGGGAAGAAGAAGCGGGAAGAUACGCUGCCCUCCCUGUCUCAGAUGCACCUCUGGCCUCGGCGUGACCACCUUGUUUAGCUGAGGAGAAGCUGGGUUGGCAGGGUUUUCUGAAGUCAAGAGGGAGCUGGGGGGGCGCCCCGGGAGGUACUGGCAGUUUUUUCACUUGUCCUCUUCUGGCUUUGUAGCUUCUCUUGUGUAAUCAGCUGCCUAUUUGGAAAUUGGGCAGGGUUUGCGACUGGAUGCUAAUGUCACUGACUAGUUUUCAGCCUACCAUCCAGAAGUAACAUGUUCCCAGCUUUGGAAACGCACCUAAAGCAGACUAUUCCUGAUCCUUAUGAAGACUUUAUGUACCGUCACCUCCAAUAUUAUGGCUACUUUAAAGCUCAGAGAGGCAGUUUACCAAACUCUGCUACGCAUCAGCAUGUUCGGAAGAAUAACCCUCAAUACCUGUUGAAUGGCUCUCUUGGGGAAAAAGAUGAUUUGAUACCAGACACCCUGCAAAAGGAGAAGCUUCUAUAUUCACAUAUGCUGAGUUUACCACAUCUUAGGAGCAGACAGCUUCUUUAUGAUGAGUUGGAUGAAGUAAACCCACGUCUUCGAGAACCCCAAGAGCUCUUUUCCAUUUUGUCUACCAAGAGGCCACUGCAGGCUCCAAGAUGGCCAAUUGAAUGUGAGGUCAUCAAGGAAAACAUUCAUCAUAUUGAGUGGGCUCCACCUCAACCAGAAUAUUUCUAUCAGCCUAAAGGAAAUGAAAAGGUACCAGAGAUUGUAGGAGAGAAAAAAGGAACAGUUGUCUAUCAGUUAGAUUCAGUGCCUACAGAAGGUUCCUAUUUUACCAGUUCCAGAGUGGGAGGCAAACGAGGAAUUAUCAAGGAACUUGCUGUCACGUUGCAAGGACCAGAAGAUAAUACUCUACUGUUUGAAUCAAGGUUUGAGAGUGGGAAUCUGCAAAAAGCUGUCAGAGUAGACACCUAUGAGUAUGAACUCACCUUGCGAACUGACCUCUACACUAACAAACACACUCAGUGGUUUUAUUUUCGUGUUCAGAACACCAGAAGAGAUGCCACCUAUCGCUUCACCAUUGUCAACUUGCUAAAACCCAAGAGUCUUUAUACUGUAGGGAUGAAGCCACUCUUGUACUCCCAAUUGGAUGCCAACACCCGCAAUAUUGGCUGGAGGAGAGAAGGAAAUGAAAUCAAGUACUACAAGAACAACACGGAUGAUGGGCAGCAGCCCUUCUACUGUCUCACGUGGACCAUUCAGUUUCCAUAUGACCAGGACACUUGCUUCUUUGCACACUUCUACCCAUAUACAUACACUGAUUUGCAAUGCUACCUCCUGUCAGUGGCAAACAACCCUAUCCAGUCUCAGUUCUGCAAGCUCCAAACUUUAUGCAGGAGCCUAGCAGGAAAUACCGUUUACUUGCUCACCAUCACCAACCCAUCCCAGACCCCUCAAGAGGCAGCUGCAAAGAAAGCUGUGGUCUUGAGUGCCAGAGUUCACCCUGGAGAAAGUAAUGGCUCCUGGGUUAUGAAAGGCUUUUUGGACUUCAUCCUUAGCAACUCCCCAGAUGCCCAGCUCCUCAGAGAUAUUUUUGUCUUCAAGGUGCUUCCCAUGUUAAAUCCAGAUGGUGUGAUUGUGGGGAAUUAUCGGUGUUCCUUGGCCGGAAGGGAUUUGAACAGGCAUUAUAAAACCAUUCUGAAGGAGUCUUUCCCUUGUAUUUGGUACACCAGGAACAUGAUCAAAAGACUUCUUGAAGAAAGAGAGGUUCUGUUGUAUUGUGAUUUCCAUGGCCACAGUCGUAAGAAUAAUAUCUUCCUGUAUGGCUGUAAUAACAACAAUCGCAAAUACUGGCUUCAUGAACGAGUCUUUCCUUUAAUGUUAUGCAAAAAUGCACCAGAUAAGUUCUCUUUUCACAGUUGUAAUUUUAAGGUCCAAAAAUGCAAAGAAGGAACAGGACGAGUUGUUAUGUGGCGGAUGGGAAUCCUAAACAGCUACACCAUGGAGUCUACCUUUGGCGGGUCCACCCUGGGUAAUAAAAGAGACACCCACUUUACCAUCGAAGAUCUGAAGUCCUUAGGUUAUCAUGUCUGUGACACCCUUCUGGACUUUUGUGAUCCUGACCAAACGAAGCACCAGUGGCUCUGACAGUUCUCUCUCAGAUGGUCUUCCUGUUCACCUAGCAAACAUAGCAGAUGAG
RNAcentral lists this small RNA (2618 nucleotides) under Pan troglodytes (chimpanzee). RNAcentral's name for it is "processed transcript". The record is from RNAcentral. Lineage: Eukaryota; Metazoa; Chordata; Mammalia; Primates; Hominidae.